GACGGGUGAGUAACACGUGGGUAACCUGCCUGUAAGACUGGGAUAACUCCGGGAAACCGGGGCUAAUACCGGAUGCUUGAUUGAACCGCAUGGUUCAAUUAUAAAAGGUGGCUUUUAGCUACCACUUACAGAUGGACCCGCGGCGCAUUAGCUAGUUGGUGAGGUAACGGCUCACCAAGGCAACGAUGCGUAGCCGACCUGAGAGGGUGAUCGGCCACACUGGGACUGAGACACGGCCCAGACUCCUACGGGAGGCAGCAGUAGGGAAUCUUCCGCAAUGGACGAAAGUCUGACGGAGCAACGCCGCGUGAGUGAUGAAGGUUUUCGGAUCGUAAAACUCUGUUGUUAGGGAAGAACAAGUACCGUUCGAAUAGGGCGGUACCUUGACGGUACCUAACCAGAAAGCCACGGCUAACUACGUGCCAGCAGCCGCGGUAAUACGUAGGUGGCAAGCGUUGUCCGGAAUUAUUGGGCGUAAAGCGCGCGCAGGCGGUUUCUUAAGUCUGAUGUGAAAGCCCCCGGCUCAACCGGGGAGGGUCAUUGGAAACUGGGGAACUUGAGUGCAGAAGAGGAGAGUGGAAUUCCACGUGUAGCGGUGAAAUGCGUAGAGAUGUGGAGGAACACCAGUGGCGAAGGCGACUCUCUGGUCUGUAACUGACGCUGAGGCGCGAAAGCGUGGGGAGCGAACAGGAUUAGAU
Molecule: ribosomal RNA, 698 nt
Filed under: Bacillus paralicheniformis
Lineage: Bacteria; Bacillati; Bacillota; Bacilli; Caryophanales; Bacillaceae
Description: bacterial SSU rRNA
Rfam family: Bacterial small subunit ribosomal RNA
Source: RNAcentral